RNAcentral lists this ribosomal RNA (483 nucleotides) under uncultured bacterium. Its description in RNAcentral is "partial 16S ribosomal RNA". It matches the Rfam family "Bacterial small subunit ribosomal RNA", at positions 28 to 523 of the family's 1533-position model. The record is from RNAcentral.
GACGAACGCUGGCGGCGUGCUUAACACAUGCAAGUCGAACGAUGAAGCCGGAGCUUGCUCCGGUGGAUUAGUGGCGAACGGGUGAGUAACACGUGAGCAAUCUGCCCUUGACUCUGGGAUAACUGCGGGAAACUGUAGCUAAUACCGGAUACGACACCUUGGGGCAUCCCAGGGUGUGGAAAGAAUUUGGGUCAAGGAUGAGCUCGCGGCCUAUCAGCUAGUUGGUGAGGUAAUGGCUCACCAAGGCGACGACGGGUAGCCGGCCUGAGAGGGUGACCGGCCACACUGGAACUGAGACACGGUCGAGACUCCUACGGGAGGCAGCAGUGGGGAAUAUUGCACAAUGGGCGAAAGCCUGAUGCAGCAACGCCGCGUGAGGGAUGAAGGCCUUCGGGUUGUAAACCUCUUUUAGCAGGGAAGAAGCGAAAGUGACGGUACCUGCAGAAAAAGCACCGGCUAAUUACGUGCCAGCCGCCGCGGUAA